This 156-nucleotide ribosomal RNA is filed under the name Silene davidii. Its description in RNAcentral is "5.8S ribosomal RNA". It matches the Rfam family "5.8S ribosomal RNA". Rfam says of the family: 5.8S ribosomal RNA (5.8S rRNA) is a component of the large subunit of the eukaryotic ribosome. It is transcribed by RNA polymerase I as part of the 45S precursor that also contains 18S and 28S rRNA. The record is from RNAcentral. Lineage: Eukaryota; Viridiplantae; Streptophyta; Magnoliopsida; Caryophyllales; Caryophyllaceae.
AACGACUCUCGGCAACGGAUAUCUCGGCUCUCGCAUCGAUGAAGAACGUAGCGAAAUGCGAUACUUGGUGUGAAUUGCAGAAUCCCGUGAACCAUCGAGUUUUUGAACGCAAGUUGCGCCCGAAGCCUUUUGGCUAAGGGCACGUCUGCCUGGGCG